CGCGCGCCUGCGCGAUUUCGAGACGCGCUACAAGGAAGAGCGCGAGCUGGAGAGGAACGGCUGAGUCAGCCGUGCGACGCGGCGCGCGCGGC
RNAcentral lists this transfer RNA (92 nucleotides) under Burkholderia sp. THE68. RNAcentral describes it as "tRNA-Pro". The record is from RNAcentral. RNAcentral also lists the same sequence under 1 other name. Lineage: Bacteria; Pseudomonadati; Pseudomonadota; Betaproteobacteria; Burkholderiales; Burkholderiaceae.